GCGCCCGUAGCUUAAAGGAUAGAGUGGCGGCUUGCGGAGCCGUUGAUGCCAGUUCGAUUCUGGCCGGGCGCACAA
RNAcentral lists this transfer RNA (75 nucleotides) under Candidatus Woesebacteria bacterium. RNAcentral describes it as "tRNA-Arg". It matches the Rfam family "tRNA". Rfam says of the family: Transfer RNA (tRNA) molecules are approximately 80 nucleotides in length. Their secondary structure includes four short double-helical elements and three loops (D, anti-codon, and T loops). The record is from RNAcentral. Lineage: Bacteria; Candidatus Woeseibacteriota.